UAUACAGAAAUUAAACCCAGUUUAGUGCAUGUCUCCUAUGUAAUCAAAACCUACCGUGUCUAUAAAUUGAGAUUUUUCAAAAUCAUGUCCUUGAACUUGCUGUAUUCCCACAGGUUCAGCUGCAGAACAUGGUGCUGCACUGUUUGUUAGUGUAGGUGGAAGGAAUCCAUGCAGCAGUGGAAAGGAAGGCAUUCUGACUCCAUAACUUGUUUACAUUUCAAAAGGCUUUUGAGAGGUAUAAUCACAAGAGAAAAAGAGAAGUGAGGAAGUUAAAGUACAGUAAUUCAUCAAAAGACUAUGUGACAAUCGUAUUACACUGACCUGGUGAGGCAAGUGAGGCUGGAGACUGUGGAGGACAACUUUAACUGGAUCUGCCUGGGAUAGCAGCAUCCUUGUGUUCUGAGGAAGGCACAUCCCAUUCUGUUGUGUGCCUCUUGGACAUCUCCCUAAUUUGAAACAGAAACAUCACCACCCCAUGAAGCUUUUGAAAAUAAUUGAGGCAAAGAAGCUACUACUAAGAGGACACCAUGCUUUAAUGAUUCUAACUGAAGGAAAAGGUGUAAGAAUUGUGGAAUUGGUGAUAGAAACUGUGUCAGAGAAGGAUGAAGAGUAAACCAGAACUGCUGGUGUUGAAAAUGCCUUGCAAUUUAAGUAAGAAGAAAUAUCAAAUAUCUCCCUGAAGCUGAAGAAUUUGAGAAAAUUACAUGUGAGGAGUUAAAAAACUUGGAAAUUACUUAAAAGAUCCAUGAAACACUUGAAAGCAACAAGCCAGCAUCCAAACAAAAGAGGAUUGUCAUCUGGCACUGCUGCUGCCCACUCUUCAAAACAGAAAGCAUUCCUGAAUUCAGUGGGUCUGUUUUCCUAGCAGACAAAACAAUUUGUUUGAUGCUAGGUUGUUAACCCAAGUCAGCUUUGGCUGACCUACAGCUAAUCUUUUCAGUCAGGAGACUGAACAUCCCAAACUUAGCUCCUUCUGGCUAAUCCAGGUGAAUUUAGCACAAAGAAGAUUCCUCUGCCACCUCAUCCACGUGAAUUUGUUUCUGUGCAAAUGUUAUGUUGGGUAUUAUGAGCAGAAAGUGACACACGUGUUUGUGCCUUCUAAAUAAAAGCCUUUU
This 1115-nucleotide long non-coding RNA is filed under the name Cyanistes caeruleus (blue tit). RNAcentral's name for it is "lncRNA (ENSCCEG00000019021.1)". Lineage: Eukaryota; Metazoa; Chordata; Aves; Passeriformes; Paridae. The record is from RNAcentral.